Molecule: unclassified non-coding RNA, 335 nt
Filed under: soil metagenome
Description: partial contains 5.8S ribosomal RNA, internal transcribed spacer 2, and large subunit ribosomal RNA
Rfam family: 5.8S ribosomal RNA (bases 1-120)
Source: RNAcentral
GAUGAAGAACGCAGCGAAAUGCGAUAAGUAAUGUGAAUUGCAGAAUUCAGUGAAUCAUCGAAUCUUUGAACGCAUCUUGCGCUCCUUGGUAUUCUGAGGAGCAUGCCUGUUUGAGUGUCAUUUCAACCAUCAAGCCCCCGGCUUGUGUUGGGGACCUGCGGCUGCCGCAGGCCCUGAAAACCAGUGGCGGGCUCGCUAGUCACUCCGAGCGUAGUAAUACAUCUCGCUCAGGGCGUGCUGCGGGUUCCGGCCGUUAAAAAGCCUUAUUUACCCAAGGUUGACCUCGGAUCAGGUAGGAAGACCCGCUGAACUUAAGCAUAUCAAUAAGCGGAGGA